GGAGCCAGGAUCUCCUCUGAGGAGCCGGGAUCUCCCCCGUGGAAGCGGGAUCUCCCUGCAAAGCCGGGAUCUCCCUGUGGAGCAGCACUGAGGGGAUGAUAGUGGCGCAGGUGGUGUGCCACUGACGUUGAAUUUGUGCCAUUGAAUGUAACCAGACUCCAGGGUUGAAAACAAGGGGAAAGCAAUUAGACAGGUUUUACAGCCAGCUCUUGCAACCAGUGAAUCAACUGGAGAAGGCAGCAGUUGUUUGAGAUUUGUCAUCCCAUUGCCUACGUGUACAGUGCAUGAUCAAGAAAAGGGGACACACCUGUCUCCAGGAAGAGAGAGAGCAAGACCUGACAAGGCUGGUAAAAUUAAGUGAAGGGUGAGGAAGGAACACAGGAGAAGAAAGGAACUCUCACUUGAAAAAAAAUGAAGGUAAAUGUGAGGAAACAAAAAAGAAUAAUUGCAGUUUUUAGAAGUCCUUUGCUGGCCAUCUUUAAGUGUCCCCUAUAAUAAUUUACCUCUAGUUAAGUGUGGAGAUAGGUAGAAGGGAAUGGAGCUACAGAGGAAAAAAAAGAGCAAGAAGUGGAAAAUAAAAGGGUUGCAGAGUCAGGGGCUGCAUCCUCCUGAUUUAGAGGAAUCCUCAUAAACACUCAGCAUUGCUGUGUUAUCAGUGGGACUACACUGAAUAAAGUAGACUGUAAUGCCAUAAAAUGUCUAUCUAAGGCAUAUCUGCACAGACCUAUGAAGCUGCAAAAGCAAGUCAAGUUCUUCAUAAUCCAGCUUCUUAAUU
Manacus vitellinus (golden-collared manakin) is the source of this 775-nucleotide long non-coding RNA. RefSeq lists it as uncharacterized. The transcript has 3 exons. The record is from RefSeq and is a predicted model, not a curated record. NCBI's taxonomy places the organism in Eukaryota, Metazoa, Chordata, Aves, Passeriformes, Pipridae.